UGGGGGUCAUGGGUACGUAACUUCCUUCCCGACAAACACAAAAGAAGCUCUCCCAAAUUGUUUGGUACGCAAGUUGCUUGUCGCUGGUCGGUACAAACCGCGCACUUCAUGCUGGGUUUUGGUUGCGAACAACUCCCUCGCUGUGGUCUGGACUGUCAUCUCCUCCCUACUCCUGUUUCCCUGUGACUACCAAUGCGAAUGCUGGACGUGGAGCUGACACACUUCCCUCCUCUGCUCCUGUUCCCCUGGGCUAGCUCGCAUUGUGGAAAAGGCCGAGGUAGGCAUUGUUUAUUGUUCUAACAGUGCAACGGUCCUAUUUUAAAUAUGUAUCUGGUACAAUGUUUUCUUUUUUACAUGUCGCUUGACUUAUGAACAAUUAAACUUCAUAAAAACUGUUGUGUAUUGUUAUGAAAUGCGACAUAACCAUGGACCAGGGUGUUAAACGUUUCUCUCUGUUGUAGAUCACAGCUGGCUGUCUAUUACAGUUUGACCACUGUUUUCCCCCAUUAGAGUUUCUUUUGGUAUUAGUCAGUGUUAAACUAACAGCACGUCAAAGUUGGAUGUACGGUAUGCUUGUUUGUGUUGGUUUAUUUUCUUUGUGUUGUAUGCUUGUCUGAGUGAUACACUGGUGCAUUUACA
Molecule: long non-coding RNA, 639 nt
Organism: Alosa sapidissima (American shad)
Lineage: Eukaryota; Metazoa; Chordata; Actinopteri; Clupeiformes; Clupeidae
Exons: 3
Source: RefSeq, a predicted model, not a curated record